CGAGUCGAGCGGUAGAGAGGUGCUUGCACCUCUUGAGAGCGGCGGACGGGUGAGUAAUGCCUAGGAAUCUGCCUGGUAGUGGGGGAUAACGCUCGGAAACGGACGCUAAUACCGCAUACGUCCUACGGGAGAAAGCAGGGGACCUUCGGGCCUUGCGCUAUCAGAUGAGCCUAGGUCGGAUUAGCUAGUUGGUGGGGUAAUGGCUCACCAAGGCGACGAUCCGUAACUGGUCUGAGAGGAUGAUCAGUCACACUGGAACUGAGACACGGUCCAGACUCCUACGGGAGGCAGCAGUGGGGAAUAUUGGACAAUGGGCGAAAGCCUGAUCCAGCCAUGCCGCGUGUGUGAAGAAGGUCUUCGGAUUGUAAAGCACUUUAAGUUGGGAGGAAGGGCAUUAACCUAAUACGUUAGUGUUUUGACGUUACCGACAGAAUAAGCACCGGCUAACUCUGUGCCAGCAGCCGCGGUAAUACAGAGGGUGCAAGCGUUAAUCGGAAUUACUGGGCGUAAAGCGCGCGUAGGUGGUUCGUUAAGUUGGAUGUGAAAGCCCCGGGCUCAACCUGGGAACUGCAUUCAAAACUGUCGAGCUAGAGUAUGGUAGAGGGUGGUGGAAUUUCCUGUGUAGCGGUGAAAUGCGUAGAUAUAGGAAGGAACACCAGUGGCGAAGGCGACCACCUGGACUGAUACUGACACUGAGGUGCGAAAGCGUGGGGAGCAAACAGGAUUAGAUACCCUGGUAGUCCACGCCCGUAAACAAUGUCAACUAGCCGUUGGGAGCCUUGAGCUCUUAGUGGCGCAGC
This 800-nucleotide ribosomal RNA is filed under the name Pseudomonas thivervalensis. Its description in RNAcentral is "bacterial SSU rRNA". It matches the Rfam family "Bacterial small subunit ribosomal RNA", at positions 58 to 852 of the family's 1533-position model. The record is from RNAcentral. Lineage: Bacteria; Pseudomonadati; Pseudomonadota; Gammaproteobacteria; Pseudomonadales; Pseudomonadaceae.